Halorientalis sp. IM1011 is the source of this 74-nucleotide transfer RNA. It matches the Rfam family "tRNA". Rfam says of the family: Transfer RNA (tRNA) molecules are approximately 80 nucleotides in length. Their secondary structure includes four short double-helical elements and three loops (D, anti-codon, and T loops). NCBI's taxonomy places the organism in Archaea, Methanobacteriati, Methanobacteriota, Halobacteria, Halobacteriales, Haloarculaceae. The record is from Rfam.
GCCAGGGGAGCUUGGGCGGUCCAAGCACCCGACUUGUAAUCGGGAGUUCGUGGGUUCAAAUCCCACCCCUGGCU